Molecule: ribosomal RNA, 752 nt
Filed under: uncultured Actinomyces sp.
Lineage: Bacteria; Bacillati; Actinomycetota; Actinomycetes; Actinomycetales; Actinomycetaceae
Description: bacterial SSU rRNA
Rfam family: Bacterial small subunit ribosomal RNA
Source: RNAcentral
GACGAACGCCGGCGGCGUGCUUAACACAUGCAAGUCGAACGCUGAAGGCCCAGCUUGUUGGGUUGGAUGAGUGGCGAACGGGUGAGUAACACGUGAGUAACCCGCCCCCUUCUUUGGGAUAACGGUCGGAAACGGCUGCUAAUACCGGGUAUUCACUGUCCUUCGCAUGGGGGGUGGUGGAAAGGUUUUUUCUGGUGGGGGAUGGGCUCGCGGCCUAUCAGCUUGUUGGUGGGGUGAUGGCUUACCAAGGCUUUGACGGGUAACCGGCCUGAGAGGGUGACCGGUCACAUUGGGACUGAGAUACGGCCCAGACUCCUACGGGAGGCAGCAGUGGGGAAUAUUGCACAAUGGGCGAAAGCCUGAUGCAGCGACGCCGCGUGAGGGAUGACGGCCUUCGGGUUGUAAACCUCUUUCGCUCAUGGUCAAGCCGCAACAGUGGUUGUGGUGAGGGUAGUGGGUAAAGAAGCACCGGCUGACUACGUGCCAGCAGCCGCGGUAAUACGUAGGGUGCGAGCGUUGUCCGGAAUUAUUGGGCGUAAAGGGCUUGUAGGCGGUUUGUCGCGUCUGCCGUGAAAUCCUCUGGCUUAACUGGGGGCGUGCGGUGGGUACGGGCAGGCUUGAGUGCGGUAGGGGAGACUGGAACUCCUGGUGUAGCGGUGGAAUGCGCAGAUAUCAGGAAGAACACCGGUGGCGAAGGCGGGUCUCUGGGCCGUUACUGACGCUGAGGAGCGAAAGCGUGGGGAGCGAACAGG